GUGUCAGCCGCCGCGGUAAUACGGAGGGUGCAAGCGUUAUCCGGAUUUACUGGGUUUAAAGGGUGCGUAGGUGGGUUGGUAAGUCAGUGGUGAAAUACUUUCGCUUAACGAAGGAACUGCCAUUGAUACUACCAGUCUUGAAUACAGUGGAGGUAGGCGGAAUGCGUCAUGUAGCGGUGAAAUGCUUAGAUAUGACGCAGAACACCAAUUGCGAAGGCAGCUUGCUACACUGUUAUUGACACUGAGGCACGAAAGCGUGGGGAUCAAACAGGAUUAGAUACCCCUGUAGUCC
This 292-nucleotide ribosomal RNA is filed under the name uncultured bacterium. RNAcentral describes it as "partial 16S ribosomal RNA". It matches the Rfam family "Bacterial small subunit ribosomal RNA", at positions 505 to 796 of the family's 1533-position model. The record is from RNAcentral.